GGCGCUUUCCGGUUCCUUCCGGUUGCUUCUGGCCGCUUCCGGCCCGGCUCCUCUGCCCGCUGGCGCCAGGCCCGGCGGGGCGGAGACACCGAUUCCGCCUGAAUUACCCCCAAACGCGUCCUCCGCGCGGGCGAGCUCGAGGCGUCGCACGCAGGGGACGGCGAAAACCACGGGCAGCUUAACCCCGCGGCCGUAACGUCGCCACAAAACGUCUGAACGGCGCAGGCCGCCUGCUCCGCCCUCGGGCCUAAACCACAAAGUAACGGUGUCGAGGGCCGUCUCGCGUUCAAGAACUACAGAUACAUCAAAUAACUCCCUGCCCCCGAGCAACGUUUCCUUUUCAGACAUUUUUUUAAUGAAUGAUGAGUUUUUAAAAAUCGGUAUGGAUCUGCGGGUGUUUUGCUCUGCGUUUGAUCUGCGUUUUGCUCUGCGCAGCCUUGUCUCGAGGGGUGUCACGUUCUGAGGUGGGUUUUCCGUUGUCGAAGAGGUGUCAAACCGUGGUGACCCAAAUCCUGAAGCUGCUUCCGGAGGUCUCGCCGUAGUUCCUGCCCGGACUUGCUGAUGCGAAUGAUGACCGUGCUAAAAGCAGUCGGUUUUAAAAAUCUCAGCGUAGGAAGUACUCGGUUCAGCCCAUCACGUCUGCUUGUGGUUUUCAAGCUUUAAUGAUGUUGCGCUUUACAGCUACUCAUGAGGAAAGUUUAUGAGCACGAGGUUCUUGAAGCAAAAAGUCAUCCACAUGUGUUUACAGAAGUGAACCCAACAGCUUUGCAAUUUCCACAUUUGCUUUCUGUUUAAUAAAAAUCAUAUUAAAAAUCCUGAACCAGCCAGGAAAUAUGUACUGCGUCUUAGACCUUCAGUGGAUUCAGAGAAGCUAUGUCAGAAUGAGAAAAUAAGAAGCAGAUAUAGAGAAAUUCCAACCGUUGUCCUCUCCAGCAAGAGGAAAAGACCUUCACUUGUUGCGGGUACCAGUGAGCAGCCUUGCUACAACACCAGCUGCAGAGCCCUCGUAAGCCCUAACUGGCUAAAUAAGCUCGUCCCGACUCCCCCGUGCUGACGGAAGCGAUGUUACAAAAACCAGACUCGCAUGGUAUUGAUGUAUGCAGAGUCCAGCAUCGACUAUACUUAGCAAAACCAUCCCACAGUGAAGUAUAUCAUUUGUCAAUAGAUGCAAAAGGAAACAUUUAAUAAAGCGUAAUGACAGCUCAA
Molecule: long non-coding RNA, 1206 nt
Organism: Dromaius novaehollandiae (emu)
Lineage: Eukaryota; Metazoa; Chordata; Aves; Casuariiformes; Dromaiidae
Exons: 2
Source: RefSeq, a predicted model, not a curated record